AUUAAACGCUGGCGGCAGGCUUAACACAUGCAAGUCGAGCGGAGAUGAGGUGCUUGCACCUUAUCUUAGCGGCGGACGGGUGAGUAAUGCUUAGGAAUCUGCCUAUUAGUGGGGGACAACAUUCCGAAAGGAAUGCUAAUACCGCAUACGUCCUACGGGAGAAAGCAGGGGAUCUUCGGACCUUGCGCUAAUAGAUGAGCCUAAGUCGGAUUAGCUAGUUGGUGGGGUAAAGGCCUACCAAGGCGACGCUCUGUAGCGGGUCUGAGAGGAUGAGCCGGCACGCUGGGACUGAGACACGGCCCAGACUCCUAGGGGAGGCAGCAGUGGGGAAUAUUGGACAAUGGGGGAAACCCUGAUCCAGCCAUGCCGCGUGUGUGAAGAAGGCCUUAUGGUUGUAAAGCACUUUAAGCGAGGAGGAGGCUACUGAGACUAAUACUCUUGGAUAGUGGACGUUACUCGCAGAAUAAGCACCGGCUAACUCUGUGCCAGCCGCCGCCGUAA
RNAcentral lists this ribosomal RNA (501 nucleotides) under uncultured bacterium. RNAcentral's name for it is "partial 16S ribosomal RNA". It matches the Rfam family "Bacterial small subunit ribosomal RNA", at positions 30 to 523 of the family's 1533-position model. The record is from RNAcentral.